UUUUGAUUUGUUCUGAACGAUUACUACUGCAUAUAUUUAUUUCUGGUUAGAACUAUGAUUUCUUGUUUUCCUUGAGAAAAAUUUCUCACCUGUGUUCGAAAUUUUUCUGAUGAGUGGAGGGAGUGUGUAACAUUCCUGUUUUCUUUGGGAAAAAUUUCUCACGUGUGUUCAAAAUUUUUCUGAUGGGUGAGAGGAGUGUGUAACGUUACAAACGUCACAUCUUUGAUAUUUUAUUUUUAAAUAAUUAUUUUACCUUAUUUCCUUUAAUAUUUCAUUAAUAAUUAUCUUCUUCUAAUUGGUUUACCCAUUUUCCCCUUUAAAAAUCGGUUGGCGCUCUCUUUUAUUACCCUCUUUUAUUAUUUUCUAUUUAAUAUAUCUCUUUUUAUUUAAAUCAUCAUACUGAACAUACCUCGUAUAUUCAUACUCUCCAAAUAUCUGUAUUUUCAAUACGGAACAUGCCGCUACUUCAUAGUACUUGGUUGUCAUUUUAAAUGUCGUUUUCAAUGACAGUGUCACUUCAUCGACUUGACCCCCUACUCCCUGACAUACACUGGAAGGGAAAAAUUAAUCCUUAAAAAGGCAUGUAAUUCGAAAAAUAAAUCAUUUCUAUUUCAUCAAAUCAUCUCUUGGGUUUUUUGGAAAGAAACCACUUUUCUCCCUCCGGGAGUUUCAACAACCCUCAAAUCGCCGGCGAUACAACAACGAGGACCAUGUCAUCAGGGCUGCAACCACAUAACCAAGACUGCAACGACCAACAUCCGUAGGCCUGGUGGAAUACACCACCUACAACCCCAGAGCCCGUUGCAGAACCAGCAGCAGUACCAUACGACAUCAAGAAGAUACCACCAGCUACCAAAAGCCAUAAGUAUAAUCCAGAAUUGUUAGUUUUUGGCAAGAAUUUAAAUACAUUUGUUAAUGCAAUUUACUAAGUCAUUUUAUUUAUUAUAUCUUUAUGAACAAUAAACAUGAUUAGUUAAAAUUA
RNAcentral lists this long non-coding RNA (982 nucleotides) under Diabrotica virgifera virgifera (western corn rootworm). Its description in RNAcentral is "uncharacterized LOC126879270". The record is from RNAcentral. Lineage: Eukaryota; Metazoa; Arthropoda; Insecta; Coleoptera; Chrysomelidae.